GGGAGGAUUCCAGAGCGGCCAAAUGGGCCAGACUGUAAAUCUGGUGGCUUACGCCUUCGCAGGUUCGAAUCCUGCUCCUCCCA
RNAcentral lists this transfer RNA (83 nucleotides) under Planctomycetaceae bacterium. RNAcentral describes it as "tRNA-Tyr". It matches the Rfam family "tRNA". From Rfam's summary of the family: Transfer RNA (tRNA) molecules are approximately 80 nucleotides in length. Their secondary structure includes four short double-helical elements and three loops (D, anti-codon, and T loops). Further hydrogen bonds mediate the characteristic L-shaped molecular structure. tRNAs have two regions of fundamental functional importance: the anti-codon, which is responsible for specific mRNA codon recognition, and the 3' end, to which the tRNAs corresponding amino acid is attached (by aminoacyl-tRNA synthetases). tRNAs cope with the degeneracy of the genetic code in two manners: having more than one tRNA (with a specific anti-codon) for a particular amino acid; and 'wobble' base-pairing, i.e. permitting non-standard base-pairing at the 3rd anti-codon position. Lineage: Bacteria; Pseudomonadati; Planctomycetota; Planctomycetia; Planctomycetales; Planctomycetaceae. The record is from RNAcentral. RNAcentral also lists the same sequence under 1 other name.